RNAcentral lists this ribosomal RNA (230 nucleotides) under uncultured bacterium. RNAcentral's name for it is "partial 16S ribosomal RNA". It matches the Rfam family "Bacterial small subunit ribosomal RNA", at positions 118 to 350 of the family's 1533-position model. The record is from RNAcentral.
UGACCAACCUGCCCCUAACUCUGGGAUAACCCCGGGAAACCGGAGCUAAUACCGGAUACGAGACCGAGUGGCAUCACACGGUCUGGAAAGUUUUUCGGUUAGGGAUGGGGUCGCGGCCUAUCAGCUUGUUGGUGGGGUAACGGCCUACCAAGGCGACGACGGGUAGCCGGCCUGAGAGGGCGACCGGCCACACUGGGACUGAGACACGGCCCAGACUCCUAUGGGAGGCA